GCCUGUGUAGCUCAGUUGGAUGAGCAUCUGACUUCAGCUCAGGUCAUGAUCUCACAGUUGAUGGGUUCAAGCCCUGCAUCAGGCA
This 85-nucleotide transfer RNA is filed under the name Felis catus (domestic cat). It matches the Rfam family "tRNA". From Rfam's summary of the family: Transfer RNA (tRNA) molecules are approximately 80 nucleotides in length. Their secondary structure includes four short double-helical elements and three loops (D, anti-codon, and T loops). The record is from Rfam by way of RNAcentral. Lineage: Eukaryota; Metazoa; Chordata; Mammalia; Carnivora; Felidae. RNAcentral also lists the same sequence under 2 other names.